ACCACGGACCGGUUGUCUCUCACAAGCUUAAUGAAGCCCUUAUCUGGAUGGAGCACCCUGAUUAAAAGAAAGCAAAGAUCCCAGCUUCUUGAUUAUCAUGGUCAGUAAAACAAAUAAUGAUGCAAAGCUGGGGUCUGGAAAAGACAUUGUGCCUAUAUUGAUUCCCAUGGAAAAUAGUAUAAAAAGCCUUGAUAGAAGCACUUUACUCAUCCACAUCUUGGAGAGCUGUGACAGGGCGCACUUGCUGAAGAUCUAAGAAAUGGCACAGGAGGUCAGAGCAAGGAAAACAGAUCUGCUUUUUAACAUACCAACGCUGAUAUAGAAAUAUCUUUUUCAGCAAAAAAAUUCAGGGGGAUUUUAUUGAUCCCUUGAAAACACCUUCUCGACGCCUCUAUAAAUCAAUGCCUGAGAGGCCUCUUGAGCCCGGAGAGCCGCGUCGUGGCAUUACCUUUAAAAGAGGAAAGCCUGACCAUGCUCACACUAUAGAAAAUCAGCCCAAAAGACAUAAGGCUGCUGAACUCCCAGAGAGCAUCACCCACCCAAUGAAACCUCGUGUGGUGUUGGGAGGCAGCCCUGGUGAAUGUUCAGGUGUGAACAACCCAGCGAAACCGCAGGCGGUGAAGGGCCAGAAAAAGCAAAGGCCACCUGCAAAUGUUGGAAACGCUGUAGACACUGUACCAACAGUUGGUGAAUGGUUUUAAAAAGUUGGAUUGAUUGUUAACAUGGUAGCCAUUGCUAAAGAAUGGGGGGAAAGGAUGGGUCAGAUCACGAGAGAAAUGCCAAAUAUGCAAAAUAUCUGUGAGUCGAUUAAAAAUGGAUCAUUUUUCUUGUGUAAAAGCCUCUCAAAUUCAAACAGGUCUGGGUUAUCCUGAUGUAAAGAAGACGCCCAAAAGAGGUAAAAUGAAAAGGGGAAAAAGCCUAUCACAGGGAAGCUUUACUGGCGCAAUAGAGCUGUUAAACUGUUACAAAGGGCUAAAAAAAGACUUGCACUUAGGAAAAGGGUCCCUGUCUCUCUGCCCUCUAGUUCUACACAGCAGGGUCAGUCUCAAGAGCACUCACAAGGCUCAGAAGGUGUGGCUCCCAACCAA
Molecule: non-coding RNA, 1088 nt
Organism: Pogona vitticeps (central bearded dragon)
Lineage: Eukaryota; Metazoa; Chordata; Lepidosauria; Squamata; Agamidae
Source: RefSeq, a predicted model, not a curated record